ACAGCUGUACAGUUCUAUUAAAACAGACGAACUUCCUCAGCUGUCAAAGAUUGUGAAUGCUUGGCUGAAGCUAAGAGCUAAAGUACAGCAGACACGUGAGAGAACAGCCCCAGUGACAAGUAACUACCUUCAAAGGACAAUCACAUUGGAGACUCCAGCAGCAGUCUGCCGUCAUGUGCAUGUCCCCUCUGCCUUGAUAUCUCUCCUCCAUCACCUUCAUGUCCUGGUGAAACCUCUCGCCUUGUUCCUCCAAUGUUAUCUGGAAAUCUGUUUAAAUGGCUGUGGAGAUAGUGCAUCUUUCUGCUCAUAUUAACUCCCAAAUUUCUGAAGUUACCAAGCGUACCUUGCACCUUACUUCAUACUUGUCUGCUCUGUGAGCACCCAAGUAGUUCUUCACAACAGAGACAAAACUCUUCCAGGCCGCAGCAGAGUACAUCAGGAUUGGCUAUUAUUGCAUUUUUUAUCACACACAAGUCGCAUUGCAGGAAUGCAUUAUUUUCAUUACCUCAAAAACUAGAACCAAUUCAGUGGGAUUGUUGAAUUCAGCACCCUCAAAAUACCCUAAAUCCAUUCAAAAAACCUUGGCACCUGAAAAAAAAGUUUGUAGACCUGUGUUAUUAUUAUAUCAUAACCUCCUUGAGGUGUUUGAGAAGCAGAUUCUGUUUCAGGUUGCCUUUGUUCGCCGCCUGCGGAGUGACAGUGUGACCCUCGCUUAUCCUUCUGUCUCUCUCUCACCUCUUGCUCCCUGAGUCUCUCAGCUCCGUGUCACGAAGAUCUGACUAAACCACAGUGCCCUGCGUUAGUGACGUCAGUGGUGCUCACUUGGCCCUGGUUUCCAGGUGUUUUUCAGGGGCCCUGUGGUCAGUCUGCCCACGCACACGACCAACCACGACGACAAACUGUCAUCAGACUCCCCUCUUUAUGGUGCCAUUGACACUGACUCCUGAGUUUUGUACUGUCAUGGCUUCAUGUGAGUGGCUGAGGCCCCGGAGGAUGGGGUGGGUCGGUGGGGGGUGGGAUUCCAGAAGGACAUUCCUGGACGCAAGGAUCCUGCUGUCCUGGAGCGCAUCCCAUGUCCGAUCCCCCCCCAGCCGACACACUCAUCCUUGAGGCGUGGUGACCCGGAGUGGAAUUCCCCAGUCACCAUGGUGUCCCGUCCACGAAUAGGAGCUGCCCUGUAAGUAACACUGGCUUGAAACACGCAGGCCGCCCUGUGGUUCGCCGGCGGGCAGCCAGCCUGCUUGUUACAGCUGCCUCACUGCCCUCCUCAGCUCCAGCGCUUGGGAAGCGCGACGGAAACCAGACUUCCAGGCCUCUUUUUUUCCUCCCGUCUUUUUCGCUUGUGGUUUCUAUUUUUUCCACAUGUCUUUUUUUUUUCUUUUAUACCUUUUUUUUCGCCCUAAAUGUAACGACAAUUUCAUGUUCAUGUGUAAAGUGUAAUUUGUGUCCUGCCAGUCUGUGAUAAUUGCAAUCCUACGUAAAAACAAAUGGUCCCUUUCUCCUGCAGGGAGCCUCGUUGCCAUAAAAACGGUUAUUAAAAGUGCAGGAUUUGACCAGUCAUUGUGUGGAGAGCGGGACCCUUCGCAGCCCACAUGCACAGCGGCCAUUUCCACCUGCCGCGUCACACAUUCGGA
Molecule: long non-coding RNA, 1634 nt
Organism: Brienomyrus brachyistius
Lineage: Eukaryota; Metazoa; Chordata; Actinopteri; Osteoglossiformes; Mormyridae
Exons: 3
Source: RefSeq, a predicted model, not a curated record